This 344-nucleotide long non-coding RNA is filed under the name Solanum tuberosum (potato). RNAcentral's name for it is "long non-coding RNA (STUB_LNC006216)". Lineage: Eukaryota; Viridiplantae; Streptophyta; Magnoliopsida; Solanales; Solanaceae. The record is from RNAcentral.
GUAGUUUGGGUUAUUGUAGAGUUGUAACCUCAAAUUUAGUUUGUUGUCUUGUCAUCAAGUUUUUUUAAUCUUAAUAUAAUCUUUAUUCCGUGUCACUUUGACCCGUUCUAUUUGACUUUCCACAUAUACAUCUCUUUUCAAUUCAAUUUUUGUGACAUGAUAUGCUAAAGGAUUUGGUAAGAUCUUAAGAUUAUAUCUAGCCAUGGAAGGAAUACACCAUAGAAGUCAAAAAAGAAAUACAUUCGAGGAAAUGAAUAAAGGACUUAAACACCUUGAUACGUCCUUUAGUAUUGAAAAUGGUUAAAAAAAUAAAUUUCAUUUAAAUUGACAUAUGUCAUUUGUUG